UACGUAGGGUGCGAGCGUUGUCCGGAAUUACUGGGCGUAAAGAGCUCGUAGGUGGUUUGUCGCGUUGUUCGUGAAAUUCCCUGGCUUAACUGGGGGCGUGCGGGCGAUACGGGCAGACUGGAGUACUGCAGGGGAGACUGGAAUUCCUGGUGUAGCGGUGGAAUGCGCAGAUAUCAGGAGGAACACCGGUGGCGAAGGCGGGUCUCUGGGCAGUAACUGACGCUGAGGAGCGAAAGCGUGGGAGCGAACAGG
This 252-nucleotide ribosomal RNA is filed under the name uncultured bacterium. RNAcentral's name for it is "partial 16S ribosomal RNA". It matches the Rfam family "Bacterial small subunit ribosomal RNA", at positions 524 to 776 of the family's 1533-position model. The record is from RNAcentral.